GUUAGAAUUUUGUGUCAGGCUGCUAGUAAAUCAGGCUCUACUCUGUCCAAUAGCAAGUUGGAUAGUACCUAUAGUUAAUUGCACGGACAUAUGGAUUUUGGUUCAUUUUGUGUGUAUGUUUGUUUGUUCAUGCUUACGACUUUGGCUAAAACAUGUUGGAUGCCCAAUUCCUAUGGUGAACCUUUUGGUUCAAGCAAGAAAACUCAUGUUCCCUUUCUAUGACUGAAGCCAAGCUGUACCUACUACUGGCAUAAUACGAUGGAUUCAUUCUUUGUUUGUGGUCAACUCUUGUCUGUCUACUAGCAUUCGUGCGAGAACCUGAAUGUUGUGUAGGCUGCUGUGUUGUACUACCAGUAAACUAGUUUAUACUCUCUCCAACUGCAAGUUGGAUAACCUUGCAAUUAAUUGUACAGACAUGCAUAUGAUUUUUUGGUUCAAUUUGUAUGUAUGUAUAUGCUUAAGACUUUGACUAAAACUAGUUGGAUGUUCAGUUCCCCAUGAAGGUGACCAAUCCCUAGCAGUGCCCAUUGGUCCUUCCUGUUAAUUUCACCUCCUGCGAUUUUAAUCUUUGUUUCUUGCUUUCCACAGCGACCACAUUCUCUUAACAGCGGGACAUCUGAGUUCGUCGUGGUGAUGGAAGCUGACACGGAGCCGCUCAAAAUCUCCUCGCCUCCCGUCAUGUUUCUUGCGGACAGCAAGAUGACCAAGCCCAAGGAGGAAGCAGUUGCUCAUCACUGAGGACAAGUAACUCCAGCAAGUUGACGCCGUAGAUUCAUAGUGUACCUUCUAUAUGCCCAUCCAGUUCUGUGAUUUGUGUCUUGAAACCCAAAAACCCCAUGCCCAUGUGGGAGCUGAACCAUAGUUUUUUUCUUGUGGAAAAUAAUAUCCUUGGCUGAAUCGACUUGAGGCGGUUUCUUCAAAAUUCUUGGAAA
Molecule: non-coding RNA, 932 nt
Organism: Triticum urartu
Lineage: Eukaryota; Viridiplantae; Streptophyta; Magnoliopsida; Poales; Poaceae
Source: RefSeq, a predicted model, not a curated record